UUGGAGGGCAAGUCUGGUGCCAGCAGCCGCGGUAAUUCCAGCUCCAAUAGCGUAUAUUAAAGUUGUUGCAGUUAAAAAGCUCGUAGUUGAAUUUCGGGAUUCUACCGUUGGUCGGGCUAACAAGUCUGUACUGGUGUGUAGAAUUUCUACCUUCUGGGGAACUAUCAUGUUAUUAAUUUAGCGUGGUGGGAAACCAGGACCUUUACCUUGAAAAAAUUAGAGUGUUCAAAGCAGGCUUACAGUCUGAAUACAUUAGCAUGGAAUAAUAGAAUAGGACGGUGGUCCUGUUUUGUUGGUUUCUGAAUCACCGUAAUGAUUAAUAGGGAUAGUUGGGGGCAUUAGUAUUCAAUUGUCAGAGGUGAAAUUCUUGGAUUUAUUGAAGACUAACUUCUGCGAAAGCAUUUGCCAAGGAUGUUUUCAUUAAUCAAGAACGAAAGUUAGGGGAUCGAAGACGAUCAGAUACCGUCGUAGUCUUAACCAUAAACUAUGCCGACUAGGGAUCGGACGAUGUUAAAUUUUAUUGACUCGUUCGGCGCCUUACGGGAAAC
RNAcentral lists this ribosomal RNA (548 nucleotides) under uncultured Glomeromycotina. RNAcentral's name for it is "SSU rRNA". It matches the Rfam family "Eukaryotic small subunit ribosomal RNA", at positions 548 to 1098 of the family's 1831-position model. Lineage: Eukaryota; Fungi; Glomeromycota. The record is from RNAcentral.